GCCCGCGUGGCACAAUGGAACUGCGUCGGUCUCGAAAACCGAUUUCCGCAAGGAUAUCUAGGUUCAAUUCCUGGCGCGGGCG
RNAcentral lists this transfer RNA (82 nucleotides) under Candidatus Pacearchaeota archaeon. Its description in RNAcentral is "tRNA-Ser". It matches the Rfam family "tRNA". From Rfam's summary of the family: Transfer RNA (tRNA) molecules are approximately 80 nucleotides in length. Their secondary structure includes four short double-helical elements and three loops (D, anti-codon, and T loops). Further hydrogen bonds mediate the characteristic L-shaped molecular structure. tRNAs have two regions of fundamental functional importance: the anti-codon, which is responsible for specific mRNA codon recognition, and the 3' end, to which the tRNAs corresponding amino acid is attached (by aminoacyl-tRNA synthetases). tRNAs cope with the degeneracy of the genetic code in two manners: having more than one tRNA (with a specific anti-codon) for a particular amino acid; and 'wobble' base-pairing, i.e. permitting non-standard base-pairing at the 3rd anti-codon position. Lineage: Archaea; Nanobdellati. The record is from RNAcentral.